This 233-nucleotide ribosomal RNA is filed under the name Escherichia coli. RNAcentral describes it as "partial 16S ribosomal RNA". It matches the Rfam family "Bacterial small subunit ribosomal RNA", at positions 1 to 230 of the family's 1533-position model. Lineage: Bacteria; Pseudomonadati; Pseudomonadota; Gammaproteobacteria; Enterobacterales; Enterobacteriaceae. The record is from RNAcentral. RNAcentral also lists the same sequence under 1 other name.
AAAUUGAAGAGUUUGAUCAUGGCUCAGAUUGAACGCUGGCGGCAGGCCUAACACAUGCAAGUCGAACGGUAACAGGAAGCAGCUUGCUGCUUCGCUGACGAGUGGCGGACGGGUGAGUAAUGUCUGGGAAACUGCCUGAUGGAGGGGGAUAACUACUGGAAACGGUAGCUAAUACCGCAUAACGUCGCAAGACCAAAGAGGGGGACCUUCGGGCCUCUUGCCAUCGGAUGUGC